Molecule: long non-coding RNA, 314 nt
Organism: Leptidea sinapis
Lineage: Eukaryota; Metazoa; Arthropoda; Insecta; Lepidoptera; Pieridae
Exons: 3
Source: RefSeq, a predicted model, not a curated record
UAAUAAUACAGGAGCAGUGUGAGUAAGCUGAGUCAAUUUAUAAAGAUGUUUACAAUGACCAAAGUUGUAGUGCUUGCUGUUUUUUGUGGUGCAUGUUUUGGAAUGGAAAAUUACAAUGUUAAUGAAGACUUCGAUAUGGAAGCAUUGGUAAACGAUAAGGCCAGCUUUAACGUCGCAGUCGAAUGUUUCUUGGAUAAAGCACCGUGUGGUGAAUUUCAGAGUUAUAAAGAUAUAGCACUAGAUUCAGUAGAAACAAGUUGUGAUAAAUGCAGCCCUGCAGUGAAGCAUUUGGCUCAUACGUUUCUGCACGGUCU